CCGCCUGCCCUGUGACUAUUGUUUAACGGCCGCGGUACUCUGACCGUGCGAAGGUAGCGCAAUCACUUGUCUUUUAAAUGGAGACCUGUAUGAAUGGCAUAACGAGGGCUAAACUGUCUCCUUUUUCCAGUCAAUGAAAUUGAUCUCCCCGUGCAGAAGCGGGGAUAAACACAUAAGACGAGAAGACCCUAUGGAGCUUUAGACAAAAAGCAGACCAUGUUAAGCAACCCAGACAAGGGCCCAAACUUAAUGGCAGCUGCCCGACUGUCUUUGGUUGGGGCGACCACGGAGUAAAACAAAACCCCCGUGUGGAAUAGGGACAACCUCCCUUAAAACCAGAGUGACAACUCUAGUAAGCAGAAAUUCUGACCAAACAUGAUCCGGCAAAGCCGAUCAACGGACCGAGUUACCCUAGGGAUAACAGCGCAAUCCCCUUCUAGAGCCCAUAUCGACAAGGGGGUUUACGACCUCGAUGUUGGAUCAGGACAUCCUAAUGGCGCAGCCGCUAUUAAGGGUUCGUUUGUUCAACGAUUAAAGUCCU
This 541-nucleotide ribosomal RNA is filed under the name Jaydia smithi (Smith's cardinalfish). RNAcentral's name for it is "partial 16S ribosomal RNA". It matches the Rfam family "Bacterial large subunit ribosomal RNA", at positions 1854 to 2597 of the family's 2925-position model. The record is from RNAcentral. Lineage: Eukaryota; Metazoa; Chordata; Actinopteri; Kurtiformes; Apogonidae.